Molecule: ribosomal RNA, 253 nt
Filed under: uncultured bacterium
Lineage: Bacteria
Description: partial 16S ribosomal RNA
Rfam family: Bacterial small subunit ribosomal RNA
Source: RNAcentral
GACGUAGGGGGCCAGCGUUGUUCGGAAUUACUGGGUGUAAAGGGUUCGUAGGCGGUGUGGCAAGUCGGGAGUGAAAUCUCUGGGCUCAACCCAGAGUCUGCUUCCGAAACUGCUGUGCUUGAGUGUGGGAGAGGCGCGUGGAAUUGCAGGUGUAGCGGUGAAAUGCGUAGAUAUCUGCAGGAACACCGGUGGCGAAGGCGGAUCUCUGGGCCGAUACUGACGCUGAGGAGCGAAAGCGUGGGGAGCGAACAGG